AGCCUUGCGCAGUGGCAGUAUCGUAGCCUAUGAGGUUUAUCCGAGGCGAUUAUUGUUAGUUGAAAACUUUACCCAAUACCCCGUCUUGACGACUUGAAAUAUAGUCGGUUAUGGCAAUUUUUGUCAGUCUCUCAGGAGA
This 139-nucleotide small nuclear RNA is filed under the name Neogobius melanostomus (round goby). RNAcentral describes it as "U4 spliceosomal RNA (ENSNMLG00000008126.1)". It matches the Rfam family "U4 spliceosomal RNA". From Rfam's summary of the family: U4 small nuclear RNA (U4 snRNA) is a component of the major U2-dependent spliceosome. The structure of U4 snRNA from yeast and human has been reported. Lineage: Eukaryota; Metazoa; Chordata; Actinopteri; Gobiiformes; Gobiidae. The record is from Rfam by way of RNAcentral.